Molecule: ribosomal RNA, 450 nt
Filed under: uncultured bacterium
Lineage: Bacteria
Description: partial 16S ribosomal RNA
Rfam family: Bacterial small subunit ribosomal RNA
Source: RNAcentral
GUGGGGAAUAUUGGACAAUGGGCGAAAGCCUGAUCCAGCCAUGCCGCGUGUGUGAAGAAGGUCUUCGGAUUGUAAAGCACUUUAAGUAGGGAGGAAGGGCAGUAAGUUAAUACCUUGCUGUUUUGACGUUACCAACAGAAUAAGCACCGGCUAACUUCGUGCCAGCAGCCGCGGUAAUACGAAGGGUGCAAGCGUUAAUCGGAAUUACUGGGCGUAAAGCGCGCGUAGGUGGUUUUGUAAGUUGGAGGUGAAAUCCCCGGGCUCAACCUGGGAACUGCCUCCAAAACUGCAUGACUAGAGUACGGUAGAGGGUAGUGGAAUUUCCUGUGUAGCGGUGAAAUGCGUAGAUAUAGGAAGGAACACCAGUGGCGAAGGCGACUACCUGGACUGAUACUGACACUGAGGUGCGAAAGCGUGGGGAGCAAACAGGAUUAGAAACCCGUGUAGUCC